CAGGAUUAGAUACCCUGGUAGUCCACGCUGUAAACGAUGAGUGCUGAAUGUGGGGGUUUUUUACCUCUGUGUUGUAGCUAACGCGUUAAGCACUCCGCCUGGGGACUACGGUCGCAAGACUAAAACUCAAAGGAAUUGACGGGGACCCGCACAAGCGGUGGAGCAUGUGGUUUAAUUCGAUGCAACGCGAAAAACCUUACCACUCCUUGACAUGGAGAUUAGAUCCUUCUUAACGGAAGGGCGCAGUUCGGCUGGAUCUCGCACAGGUGCUGCAUGGCUGUCGUCAGCUCGUGUCGUGAGAUGUUGGGUUAAGUCCCGCAACGAGCGUAACCCUCAUCCUUAGUUGCCAGCGGGUUAAGCCGGGCACUUUAAGGAAACUGCCAGUGGUAAACUGGAGGAAGGUGGGGAUGAUGUCAAGUCAGCACGGCCCUUAUGGGGUGGGCUACACACGUGCCACAAUGGUGACUACAAUAGGUUGCAAUGUCGUAAGGCUGAGCUAAUCCGUAAAAGUCAUCUCAGUUCGGAUUGUCCUCUGCAACUCGAGGGCAUGAAGUCGGAAUCGCUAGUAAUCGUGGAUCAGCAUGCCACGGUGAAUACGUUCUCGGGCCUUGUACACACUGCCCGUCACGCCAUGGGAAUUGGCUUAACUC
RNAcentral lists this ribosomal RNA (650 nucleotides) under Anaplasma phagocytophilum. RNAcentral describes it as "bacterial SSU rRNA". It matches the Rfam family "Bacterial small subunit ribosomal RNA", at positions 773 to 1422 of the family's 1533-position model. Lineage: Bacteria; Pseudomonadati; Pseudomonadota; Alphaproteobacteria; Rickettsiales; Anaplasmataceae. The record is from RNAcentral.